UACGUAGGGGGCAAGCGUUGUCCGGAAUCAUUGGGCGUAAAGAGCGUGUAGGCGGUUCGGUAAGUCGGCUGUGAAAGUCCAGGGCUCAACCCCGGGCCUGCAGUCGAUACGGGCAGACUAGAGUGCGGUAGGGGAGACUGGAAUUCCUGGUGUAGCGGUGAAAUGCGCAGAUAUCAGGAGGAACACCGGUGGCGAAGGCGGGUCUCUGGGCCGUAACUGACGCUGAGGAGCGAAAGCGUGGGGAGCGAACAGG
RNAcentral lists this ribosomal RNA (253 nucleotides) under uncultured bacterium. RNAcentral's name for it is "partial 16S ribosomal RNA". It matches the Rfam family "Bacterial small subunit ribosomal RNA", at positions 524 to 776 of the family's 1533-position model. The record is from RNAcentral.